Molecule: RNA transcript, 882 nt
Organism: Mus pahari (shrew mouse)
Lineage: Eukaryota; Metazoa; Chordata; Mammalia; Rodentia; Muridae
Gene name: high mobility group protein B1 pseudogene
Exons: 1
Source: RefSeq, a predicted model, not a curated record
CGGAGAGAGUGAGGAGGCUGCGUCUGGCUCCCGCUCUCACAGCCAUUGCAGUAUAUUGAGCUCCAUAGAGACAGCGCCGGGGCAAGCGCGAGCCAGACGGGCACUGGGCGACUCUGUGCCUCGCGGAGGAAAAUCAACUAAACAUGGGCAAAGGAGAUCCUAAGAAGCCGAGAGGCAAAAUGUCCUCAUAUGCAUUCUUUGUGCAAACCUGCCGGGAGGAGCACAAGAAGAAGCACCCGGAUGCUUCUGUCAACUUCUCAGAGUUCUCCAAGAAGUGCUCAGAGAGGUGGAAGACCAUGUCUGCUAAAGAAAAGGGGAAAUUUGAAGAUAUGGCAAAGGCUGACAAGGCUCGUUAUGAAAGAGAAAUGAAAACCUACAUCCCCCCCAAAGGGGAGACCAAAAAGAAGUUCAAGGACCCCAAUGCACCCAAGAGGCCUCCUUUGGCCUUCUUCUUGUUCUGUUCUGAGUACCGCCCCAAAAUCAAAGGAGAGCAUCCUGGCUUAUCCAUUGGUGAUGUUGCAAAGAAACUAGGAGAGAUGUGGAACAACACUGAAGCAGAUGACAAGCAGCCCUAUGAGAAGAAGGCUGCCAAGCUGAAGGAGAAGUACGAGAAGGAUAUUGCUGCCUACAGAGCUAAAGGAAAACCUGAUGCAGCGAAAAAGGGGGUGGUCAAGGCUGAAAAGAGCAAGAAAAAGAAGGAAGAGGAAGAUGAUGAGGAGGAUGAAGAGGAUGAGGAAGAGGAGGAAGAAGAGGAAGAUAAAGAUGAAGAAGAAGAUGAUGAUGAUGAAUAAGUUGGUUCUAGCGCAGUUUUUUUUUCUUGUCUAUAAAGCAUUUAACCCCCCUGUACACAACUCACUCCUUUUAAAGAAAAAAAUUGAAAUG